This 301-nucleotide ribosomal RNA is filed under the name uncultured bacterium. RNAcentral describes it as "partial 16S ribosomal RNA". It matches the Rfam family "Bacterial small subunit ribosomal RNA", at positions 509 to 807 of the family's 1533-position model. The record is from RNAcentral.
CAGUCGCCGCGGUAAUACGAAGGUCCCGAGCGUUGUUCGGAAUCACUGGGCGUAAAGGGAGCGUAGGCGGCGUGGUAAGUCAGAUGUGAAAUCCCGGGGCUCAACCCCGGAACUGCAUCCGAUACUGCCAUGCUAGAGGAUUGGAGAGGUAGCUGGAAUUCUUGGUGUAGCAGUGAAAUGCGUGGAGAUCAAGAGGAACACUCGUGGCGAAAGCGAGCUACUGGACAAUAACUGACGCUGAGGCUCGAAGGCCAGGGUAGCGAAAGGGAUUAGAUACCCGUGUAGUCCCUGUCUCUUAUAC